CUGAAAACACCUCACCAGGACAUGCAAGGGUUACAGUGUGAGUUGUCUCUUGUCAUGCCCUCUCAGUGUCUUUCAUUGUGACACUUUUUACAUAAAAAUGCCAAAGAUAAAUUACUUUUUUGUAGUUAUUACUUUUAAAGUGAGUAUGCUGCUAGGAUGCUAGCGCCUAACCACAAGGCCCAAUCUUGCAUUGACAAAUAGUAUUUUGGUGUGAUUCAUCCUAUAGUGCAACACUAGAUCAUGUGGUGUGACAUUCAGAAUUGUGACCAAAAAAAGCCUUUGUUAGUGAUAAAUCAUAAACAUGUCAAUUUAACACAUGUAGCAUAGUAUCAACAAGUGAUACAAGCAUUUUGUUUGAUUUAUAACAGGUGUGCUGUCUUUAAAGUUAAGUGAAUGGGUUAAAUAAGUUAUUCGUUGGAAAAGUAAAAAAGUGAGCUUAAAAAGUUAAAAUAUCAAAUUCAUUAAGUUACAUUUCAGAAGUUCAUGCUGUGUGCUGCCCUCUACUGGUCAGAGUUAAUAAUUCAGGGAAGCACUCUCUUCGGUAGAACUCUGACAGGCAAGAAAGUCAGUGCUGGGUUAAUGUUGCUGAAUUUAUUUCUGAUACGCUUCUGCCUUGGAGUCUAUGUGCCUUUUUACAAAACAAAACAACAAGAGGAAACAUCUUCAGUAAAAUAUAAGAAAAGCCAAGCCUUGUGUGUUUAUUGGAGGACUUUUGAAUGUUCACUGGCUGUCUAGCUUUGCACAAGAGAUCGCAUUGCCAGGGCAGCACAACAGGGUUUGUCGGAAUUAAUCUAAAAUAUAUUGAAAGAUUUAGAACAGAUUACUGACUUUGCGUGAUGAUUAAGAAAAGUUAAAUAAAAUGUGAUUUUUAUUUAAUUUUAAUUAAAAACAAAAUAUCCUUGUGAAACUAAACGUUACAAAGUUGCUUUUGUGUUGAUAGCUUUCAUUGUUCAGUCUUUAGAGUGUGCUGCUAAAAAUAAAUUGGAAAAUAAUAAUAAGAGAGUAAUAUAAACAUGUGCUGUAACUUUGACAAGCACACAUAAUGAAGGCAAUUGUGAAUGUGAUUCUACUUGUGACUCUAACAGCAGCUGGCAGAUUCCAUGGGUGGAGCAGUUGUGUCCCACACAGUGGAAUUAGAAACAAUGAACACAGUUGUCAGAGAAUGAGGAUGUUAAGUCACACGAAGUAAGGAUCUAAAGUCCACAUAAUUGCAAGAAGGCUUGGAGUAUUUAGUUUAAAUCGGUUACAACAAACCCCUGAAACUCAUUGAGAAUGCUGUGGUGCGUCUGGGGUUAAACCUUGCCAAGAUAUUCCAUGUCACCCCGUUUCUUUGCACCCUACACUGGCUUAUGGAAAAACAAGAGGAGCUUCUCCCCACCUUUGGGCAAUGCUCAAAACCUACAUCCCUACCCAGGCUCUCUGUUCAGCCAUCUCUGAGUUUGUGAAUGUCUCAACCCAGUUCCCAAUCCACGCAGUCAAAACUCUUCACUUUCCUGGCACUUGAAUGGUGGAACCAGCUUCCCUUGGAGGCUAGGACAGCUGAGUCUUUACCUUUCUUCAAAACAUCUGAAAAAUCAUCUUUUCAAAGAGAACUUAAAAUAGUUCCACUUGUAUGGUCCUCUGUCCAGCACUGACCUUUGCCAAUAAUUAAUUCAUUGAUUAAAAU
Long non-coding RNA from Esox lucius (northern pike), 1666 nucleotides. The record is from Ensembl. NCBI's taxonomy places the organism in Eukaryota, Metazoa, Chordata, Actinopteri, Esociformes, Esocidae.